Molecule: transfer RNA, 66 nt
Filed under: Panesthia angustipennis cognata
Lineage: Eukaryota; Metazoa; Arthropoda; Insecta; Blattodea; Blaberidae
Description: tRNA-Gly
Source: RNAcentral
AUUUAUCUAAUAUAUAAAGUAUAUUUGACUUCCAAUCAAAAAGUUUGUCUAAAAACAAGAUAAAUA